Molecule: non-coding RNA, 27 nt
Filed under: Homo sapiens (human)
Lineage: Eukaryota; Metazoa; Chordata; Mammalia; Primates; Hominidae
Source: RNAcentral
UGUCAGGUUAGGAAAAGGCAUGGUGGA